AGCGGCGAACGGGUGAGUAAUACAUCGCGAACAUGCCCAGUCGUGGGGGAUAACACUUCGAAAGAAGUGCUAAUACCGCAUACGUCCUGAGGGAGAAAGCGGGGGAUCGCAAGACCUCGCGCGAUUGGAGUGGCCGAUGUCAGAUUAGCUAGUUGGUGGGGUAAAGGCCUACCAAGGCAACGAUCUGUAGCUGGUCUGAGAGGAUGAUCAGCCACACUGGGACUGAGACACGGCCCAGACUCCUACGGGAGGCAGCAGUGGGGAAUUUUGGACAAUGGGGGCAACCCUGAUCCAGCCAUUCCGCGUGAGUGAAGAAGGCCUUCGGGUUGUAAAGCUCUUUCGGCAGGAACGAAACGGCGAGCUCUAACAUAGCUCGCUAAUGACGGUACCUGAAGAAGAAGCACCGGCUAACUACGUGCCAGCAGCCGCGGUAAUACGUAGGGUGCGAGCGUUAAUCGGAAUUACUGGGCGUAAAGCGCGCGCAGGCGGUUGUGUAAGACAGGUGUGAAAUCCCCGGGCUUAACCUGGGAACUGCGCUUGUGACUGCACGA
Molecule: ribosomal RNA, 551 nt
Filed under: uncultured bacterium
Lineage: Bacteria
Description: bacterial SSU rRNA
Rfam family: Bacterial small subunit ribosomal RNA
Source: RNAcentral